Alligator mississippiensis (American alligator) is the source of this 993-nucleotide long non-coding RNA. RefSeq lists it as uncharacterized. The transcript is spliced from 3 exons. Lineage: Eukaryota; Metazoa; Chordata; Crocodylia; Alligatoridae. The record is from RefSeq and is a predicted model, not a curated record.
CAGGCAGCUGACAGGGAAGGAGCUCCUGAGCAGGCCCCUGAGGGAGUGACUAGCUCGCACCAGGCUACUAGAAAGCAUGGUGGUGAGAGGUGCAAAUUAUAACUCUAGACUGGAAACACUGGACAUUAUGGACACACAGCUAGCAAAGCACUGAAUAUGGUCAAAUCAAGUAGAACUCCAGCUAUACAACUUGUGGACACCCUCACUACUGGAAUCAAUUAUCUACAGAUUUGAGAGAGGUACAAAAUUUACAGACUUUUCUGAUAAGACCUGAUGGGAAGUUGAAGGACAAUCGCAGAUGUUUCCUAGUGGUGCAGUGACAAGAAAGAGAUCAAUAAAACACCAUGAAGAUAAUUAUUAAAAGAAAUAAUAAUGUCAGAUAUACAUGUAAUAUUACACUGAGCACUACUGGGGAGAUAAUUCGUGGAUUGUUAGGGGCUGGAAGGGACCUUUUAGAUCAUUGGGUCCAGUCCUCUUACACUAAGCAGGAAAGGAUGACUGGGGUCAAGUGACCGCACUGAGGUGACUGUCCAGUCUCUUUUUGAAGACUUCCAGGGUAGGUGACUGCACCCCCACUGAAGGGAGUUUAUUCCACAAUGUGGACACCCUGACUAUGAAGGAGUUUUUCCUGGAAUUGAGCCUGAAGCAGCUUCCAGGAGUUUGUAUCCAUUGCUCCUGGUCUUCCCCAGGGGUGCCCUGGGGAACAGCUGGUCACCAAGUUCUUGAUGUACUCCCCUGAUGUAGCAGUAAGCCACUACCAAGUCCCCUCCCAGCCUUCUCUUCUGUAGGCUGAAGAGGCCAAGUCUCUCAGCCUUGCCUCAUAUGGCUUAUUCAAUUCACUGUAAAGAGAAACCUGUACCACUUUGGGAUAUUUUUGUAAAGAUGUGUUACUAUAUAAUAGGGACAUUUAAUUAUGGAAUUGUGGUUUAUAGUACAGAUAUAGUCAUUAUGGUAAGAUUUAUGUCUUAUUAGCAGCAGUAGUAAUAUAAUAAA